Molecule: ribosomal RNA, 252 nt
Filed under: uncultured bacterium
Lineage: Bacteria
Description: partial 16S ribosomal RNA
Rfam family: Bacterial small subunit ribosomal RNA
Source: RNAcentral
UACGUAGGUCCCGAGCGUUGUCCGGAUUUAUUGGGCGUAAAGCGAGCGCAGGUGGUUUAUUAAGUCUGGUGUAAAAGGCAGUGACUCAACCAUUGUAUGCAUUGGAAACUGGUAGACUUGAGUGCAGGAGAGGAAAGUGGAAUUCCAUGUGUAGCGGUGAAAUGCGUAGAUAUAUGGAGGAACACCGGUGGCGAAAGCGGCUCUCUGGCCUGUAACUGACACUGAGGCUCGAAAGCGUGGGGAGCAAACAGG